CUCGCGACAGGUUUACUCCCCUCAAGCGCAAGGACAGCAUGAGGGGAGCAUCGCCUCAGCGUUUGGUUUAUUAUAGUGAAAGUUCUUUAAAAAAAACUUUAUACAGUCAAAAUUCAUGUAUAUUUAUAAACGCACAGGAAUGUUAAUUAGCGAACAUUGGACAUUUGACUGACUGACGGACCUAUUCCUUGUUAAAGGUGUCACAAACUCAUGGGCGGCGUAACUAGUACAUCUGAGGGUUACUUGAUGGUUUUGUCAAAGCAACAGGCCUUCAUGAGAUCCUUCAGUGAUCUUGAAGAACACCACCAUAGACCACUGUGCAAGCCAACAAAUAAAAUGCUUUUAUCCAACUUACAGUUGAGGAAUACAACAAGCGAUUUAUCAUAAGAUGGAAAUAGAUGUAAGGAUCCACCCGCCGGACCAAAAGACUCCCACAGGGUAUAUGUAUCUGGAGCUCUGCACUAGAAUUCACAUGCUGCUGUGUCUCUCUCUUCGGUCAGGUAUGCAUUUCGUUUUAUUAUUCGAAUGUGUAAUUGUGUUAAACACAUUGUGCUCAUAUAACACACUUUAUAGUUGUUUUUGUGCUAUUACAUGUGCACAUAGACUAGCUACUGUACAUGUGUUGAAUUUGUUGAAUUUGUUAGCCCCCUACGUGGAACACUGCUAUUUUCCAUAUAGUUACAGUAAUCCGUUAACUGUAAUAUUUACUUUUUAAUUACUGUUUACUUUAUUUUCACAAAUCUGUGUCCAGGACGGAUCAUACCGAUGUACCAAUGAAUGUAGCAGGGGCUCAUCAUUAGGGACCUUCUGAUUUCUGACUGUCACUGAUUUGACAAGUUGUUAUAAAAAGAAUAUUAUUUUUGUUAUGUGCUAGCAGGGUGCAUCUUUUUAAAGAUAUCGUAACCACCCUGCAUCUUUUGAGUAAGAACAGAACUGGCAAAUUUAUGUCUGUGAAUUCACUAAACGGCCGAGUGAAUUUCUAAGAGAUGCCAGGUUAUUAAUGAACGAAUAAUUAAAAAUAUGGAAUGUCUAGAAUAAUGAAAUACCUAAAUUAAUACAUAACUGAUAUUUGUGAUCAGCUUUUGAUUAGAGAAACCACCUAAAUUUGAUGAUCACUUGAAAUUGAAGUCAGAUUGAACACGGAGCUAGAUUAAAAUUUAAACUAAGUCUCGAUAAAUCAAGUGAACUUUGCAGAAGCACAGGUAAAAGAUCAAACAUGCAUUAAACCUUCAACCAGGUCGACUAGACUCCGCUUUUUUGCUGGCGGGUGUGACAACUGUUGGUGCUAUUAUUUGGAAAUGGCAGAAAUACAAAAUAACCAUCAAUCAGCCUUGGUCUGGCACUCCAUGCAAGAUCUUGAGAUGAUCAUGAGAAAGGUGAGGGAUCAGCCACGAAAUACACAGGAGGAGCUUGUUAAUGAUCUAUAGGCAGUUGGAUCCACAGUCACCAAGCAAAACAUUGGUAACACACUACGCCGCAAUGGACUGAAAUCCUGCAGUGCCCAAAAGGUCCCCCUGCUCAUGAAGGGACAUGUACAGGCCCGUUUAAAGUUUGCCAAAGAACAUCUAAAUGAUUUAGAGAAGGCUUGGGAGAAAGUGCUGUUGUCAGAUAAGACCAAAAUAGAGCUCUUAGGCAUUAACUUGACUCACUGUGUUUGGAGGGAGAGAAAUUAUGACUAUGACCCUGAGAACACCAUCCCUACAGUCAAGCACAGAGGUGGAAACAUUAUGCUUUGGGGCUGUUUUUCUGCUAAGGGUAAAGGGCAACUUCACUGCAUUGAGGGGCAAAUGGAUGGGGCCAUGUACUAUUAAAUCUUGGACAAGAACCUCCUUCCCUCAGCCAGAACACUGAAGAUGGGUCAUGGAUGGGUCUUCCAGCAUGACAAUGACCCGAAACAUGCCAAGGCAACAAAGGAGUGGCUCAAGAAAAACCACAUUAACGUCACUGAGUGGCCUAGCCAGUCUCCAGACCUCAAUCCUAUAGAAAAUCUUUGGAGGAAGCUGAAACUUCAAGUUGAAGUUCUUUAUUGAACUUCAAGAAACCAUAUGGAUAUAGAGAGGAUCUGUAAAGAGGAGGGGAUCAAAAUCCCUCCUGAGAUGUGUGCAACUGGUGACCAGCUACAAAGAAAGCCUUACCUCUGUGCUUGCCAACAAGGAU
Cyprinus carpio (common carp) is the source of this 2157-nucleotide long non-coding RNA. RefSeq lists it as uncharacterized. Lineage: Eukaryota; Metazoa; Chordata; Actinopteri; Cypriniformes; Cyprinidae. The record is from RefSeq and is a predicted model, not a curated record. The transcript is spliced from 3 exons.